Papaver somniferum (opium poppy) is the source of this 3206-nucleotide long non-coding RNA. RefSeq lists it as uncharacterized. The transcript has 6 exons. Lineage: Eukaryota; Viridiplantae; Streptophyta; Magnoliopsida; Ranunculales; Papaveraceae. The record is from RefSeq and is a predicted model, not a curated record.
GAUUGGGUUUUCUUUUGCUGAAAUUGCAAUUGCUUCCUCCGCCUUCUUCUUCCACUUACAUAUCGGCCAUGGCUUCAACUGAAAUUAGUUGCCGCUUCAUUUUUUUUUAUUCUGAUUAUUUAUCUCAUCAUUAGUUCUGUUUUUUUUCUUUACCUGAAACUGAUGGCGUCUUCAUUACCAAUCUGAGAAACCGGUGAGGAGAUGCGGAAAUUCAAAGAUGAAAUUGGUUGCAAUGAAACAAGCCGGUGCUGCUAAUGGAAGAAUCAAGAGAUGGGGUCUGUUUGAAUUCUUAUUACAUCAUAUUUUGUGUCACAGAUUUGGAUUUGGUCGUUGUCGAAGAAAUCAGAGAAGAAAUCUGAGUUUGCUGUUGAUUUGAGAAGGUUGCUGGUGGAUUCAAAGAAUAGGGUGUAGUUGUUCGAUUCAGAAGGAAAGAAGGAACUGAAAUUGGUGUUUUCAUCAGUUUCUUAACUAUGUUUUUUACUCUGGUGUUGGAGUUAGGGUUACGAGAUUGAGAAGAUGAAGUUGGUUCUGAACCAAAAUUGAGACAGAGACGAAGAAUUGAAGCUGAUGAAAUCGAUGGGUUUCUGUGGUUGUUCAAAGUAUAGAUUGGGGUGAUUCAGGAAUUAGAAGUUAGGGUUGGAGCUCAGAUAAAAUGGGUUUCUUUUUGAGUUCGAAUUGGCAGCAAAUGAUGUUUAUGAUUGGUCUGUGAAUGUUUUGGAGAUAGGGGUUUGUGUUGGAUUCGUGAGUAAUUGCAUAUCUGAUUUGGAGAUGGGUUUUGAACUGAGAAUGGUUGAUGCCGGGAGGAUGGAUUUCUGGAUCAGAUGGAGCUGAAUUAGGGUUCUACAGCAAUUGAUGAAGCGGAGAAGACAAAAAUGAAGAGAGAAUCAAAGAAGCAAUUGGGGGUUCAAUUAGAGAAUAAUCAGGUCUGUAAACAGUGGGUUUGUGUUGGAUUUGAAGAAUACACACAAGAAGACAAGGUUGAGUUGUUGAAUUCAUAGAGAGUAUGGAAGUGAAUGAAAUGGGUACGAAAUGCUGCUGCAAUGAGGAACUGGUGGUGCUGUUUUAGUAAGAUGGCUUGAGCUGUGGAAAUAGAUGAGUUGUUGAUUCUGGUGGUGAUUCAUGAAGCUAUACAGUGGAUGUGAAAGGGAUUUGGUGAUUGCAGUUGCAACUGCAAAUAAGAAGAGUACAAGGUGUCAGCUGGUGUUGGUUAAUGAGCAGAUAGUGGCGGUACUGGAUUCGGAGGGAGAUGGAGUUGGCCUUGCAGGAAGUUGUUUGUUGCUGCUUCAAUGACAGAACUAUGGCCGGAGUGGAGUGCAGUAGUUUAUUGUGGAAAGAAUGAAUGAUAGGAAACUGCAGUUGUGUCAGCUUGGUGUUGGAUGCUGUUAUAGUAAUGCUGCAGUAGAUGAGAUUCCGCAACUGUAAAGCUGGGAUAUGCAGGUGUUGUAAUGCAAGAGCUAGAUGGUCAGAAUUGAGGCUUUGAGCUGAUGCAGAGCAGCUGUAUUUGGAAGCUACAGCCAAUGGUUGAGAGUUCUGAUUGCAAAUGCUUAGUAGUUGUUGCUGCUGGUGUUGCGGAGACAAUGGUGCUGUCGUUGCAGAAUGUGCGAGACUGGUUCUGGUGGAGUUGCAGCCACAGUGCUAAAUGACUAAGCGUACGGAGAAGACCAGAAUUGUUGGCAAGUAAGUUUUAUGCCUAUUCAUACUAGUGCAGAGAAGGACCUCCGAUUUGUAUAUUGUGCUGCUGCCAUAUCUUCUUUAUUGAAUGAUGAUUGGAGUGGGAUGGAUAUAUAGAAAGCCAAGGAAUAUAUAGUGAUCUGUCAGCGUAUGAUGGGGAUUUUCUACUGCACUGCAGACAUGGAAAGCAUAGGACGGGCAGUUUUAUUGGCUGUUUGAGGAAAAUGCAGAACUGGUGUUCUCCUGCCGUACUUGAAGAGUACCAGCGAUUUGCAGGUGCUAAAGCUAUGCCAACUGAUAUGAUGUUCAUUGAAAACUCUGGCACUUCACUAAAACGGCCGUUAAAACGGUCACGCCUAUAUAUCGUGGUCGUGAGGGUCCGCGAACCUCGUGCCUUUAUAAUGCCGAUAAAUAAGAAACAACGCCAGUUUUUUAGGGCCGUUUUUCAGUUUUCACACACGUUAUAACCGUUUUUCUAACAUUAGUUUGAAUGUUUUUUUCUUCUAAACAACAUUUUAACGUGCGUUUUUUAGAACUGUUUUCCCGUUAUCAUGCACGUUAUAAUCGUGUAAUUAGUUUUUUUUAUCAUUUUUUUUUAGUUUUUUUUCUUUCUCUGGAUUGAAGGAUUAAAACGUAGAAUUAAAAUUUUGAAAUAAUAUGGGGAAAGUAAACUACAUGAUUAAAAACUUCAAAUUUAAAAAACAUAAUAUUAUUAAACUAGUGUUUAUCAUUUAAAUAGUUACGCGAGUCAACUACGACCACCACCCGUUUUCGAUCUAUUCAUGUAUUUUUCAUUUUCUCGACGGUUCCUUUCCUUAUUAUAGUCAUCGUCACGGGAUACUGGCUGUCUUCGUUCGUAUAAGUAUCAUAAUCAUAAUAGCCUCCAUUAUCAUCAUCAUUGUUACCCACUUCAUUAUAUUUUAUUUUUAAUAUUAGAAUUAUAUCCUUCGUUCGUAUAAGUAUCAUAAUCAUAAUAGCCUCCAUUAUCAUCAUCAUUGUUACCCACUUCAUUAUAUUUUAUUAUUAAUAUUAGAAUUAUAUCCUUCGUUCAUAUAUUGGACAUCCUGGUCAGAGCGAUUGGUACUGUAGUGAAAAUUAUAUGUAUGAUUCACAUUCUCAUAACCUUGUGUAUUAUCUACGAAUGAAAGAUUACCAAAUUCAUAAACAAAGUCACUCACCGGUAACCUUUCGUAUGAGAUUUCAACUUCGGGAUCAUUCCAGUUGUAUGGUAGAUGGACGGGCUAUGGAUUAUUAAUGGCUUCCUCUUCCAGCAUAUUUAACAAUUGUUCUUCUUGAGGUAAUAAAAUCGGUGUUUCGUCUUCCCCGGCUAUCUAUUCAAGCAUAUUGUCAUCCCUCAAUAGACUAUGAUCGUCGUGAAUAUGAAUGUUAUUUUGCCUUGCUUUACCUUUAAUUCUUUUUUGCUCCAACUUCAAAUUGUACUGAACAUACACAAGAUUAUGUACUCUCGAUGAAAGUAAAUGAUUGUGUAGUUUGGAGUGGAUUCUUUAAACAUACUCCAAUUCUUCACUUAUCCA